GUCGCUGCGAGGCGGGGUGGGGAGCAACCGGAGGCGAAAAGGCAGCCCGUAGGGUAACGAACCCGAUUCGGCGGCAUGUGGCGGCGAGCCUGCUCAUUCGUGGCGAAGCCUGGAACAUACCGCACGCGCUGAAGUGACUGCGAAAGCGACGUGUGGGCGCAUAACGUGGUUGGGGGCGGGAUGUCUGGAAGGCAAAGCGC
This is a non-coding RNA of Betaproteobacteria bacterium, 200 nucleotides long. The record is from Rfam. NCBI's taxonomy places the organism in Bacteria, Pseudomonadati, Pseudomonadota, Betaproteobacteria.